RNAcentral lists this ribosomal RNA (486 nucleotides) under uncultured bacterium. RNAcentral describes it as "bacterial SSU rRNA". It matches the Rfam family "Bacterial small subunit ribosomal RNA", at positions 28 to 507 of the family's 1533-position model. The record is from RNAcentral.
GACGAACGCUGGCGGCGUGCUUAAUACAUGCAAGUCGAGCGAGGUUACUGUUUUGGAUCCCUUCGGGGUGAAGAAGCUUUAACCUAGCGGCGGACGGGUGAGUAACGCGUGGGUAACCUACCCCAAAGUCCGGGAUAACAGCGGGAAACCGCUGCUAAUACCGGAUGCCUUUACCUUGGGGCAUCUUGAGGUAAAGAAAGGUAACGCUUUGGGAUGGGCCCGCGUCCCAUUAGCUAGUUGGUGAGGUAACGGCUCACCAAGGCGACGAUGGGUAGCCGGCCUGAGAGGGUGGACGGCCACACUGGGACUGAGACACGGCCCAGACUCCUACGGGAGGCAGCAGUAGGGAAUAUUGCGCAAUGGACGGAAGUCUGACGCAGCGACGCCGCGUGAGCGAUGAAGGUCUUCGGAUCGUAAAAGCUCUGUCCUUGGGGAAGAAGGCGAAAGCUUGACGGUACCCAAGAAGAAAGCCCGGCUAACUACGUG